CCUACGGGUGGCAGCAGUGAGGAAUAUUGGUCAAUGGACGUAAGCCUGAACUAGCCAAGUCGCGUGAAGGAUGAAGGUUCUAUGGAUCGUAAACCUCUUUUAUAAGGGAAUAAAGGCAGGGACGUGUCCCUGUUUGAAUGUACCUUAUGAAUAAGGAUCGGCUAACUCCGUGCCAGCAGCCGCGGUAAUACGGAGGAUCCGAGCGUUAUCCGGAUUUAUUGGGUUUAAAGGGUGCGUAGGCGGUCUUUUAAGUCAGCGGUGAAAGUCUGUGGCUCAACCAUAGAAUUGCCGUUGAAACUGGUAGGCUUGAGAGUGUUUGCGGUAGGCGGAAUGCGUGGUGUAGCGGUGAAAUGCUUAGAUAUCACGCAGAACCCCGAUUGCGAAGGCAGCUUACCAAGCCAUGACUGACGCUGAUGCACGAAAGCGUGGGGAGCAAACAGGAUUAGAUACCCGUGUAGUC
This 460-nucleotide ribosomal RNA is filed under the name uncultured bacterium. RNAcentral's name for it is "partial 16S ribosomal RNA". It matches the Rfam family "Bacterial small subunit ribosomal RNA", at positions 338 to 795 of the family's 1533-position model. The record is from RNAcentral.